GGACAGGUGGCCGAGUGGUUAAUGGCAGCAGACUGUAAAUCUGCCCUCCCUUGCGGAGUACGAAGGUUCGAAUCCUUCCCUGUCCACCA
Molecule: transfer RNA, 89 nt
Filed under: Gemmatimonadaceae bacterium
Lineage: Bacteria; Pseudomonadati; Gemmatimonadota; Gemmatimonadia; Gemmatimonadales; Gemmatimonadaceae
Also listed under: 1 other name
Description: tRNA-Tyr
Rfam family: tRNA
About the family: Transfer RNA (tRNA) molecules are approximately 80 nucleotides in length.
Source: RNAcentral